Molecule: long non-coding RNA, 3143 nt
Organism: Camelus dromedarius (Arabian camel)
Lineage: Eukaryota; Metazoa; Chordata; Mammalia; Artiodactyla; Camelidae
Exons: 3
Source: RefSeq, a predicted model, not a curated record
CCCCCGCCCGCCCCCUGCACCGCCGCGCGCCCCGCGCCGGCCUGGCCUGGGGUCGUCCCCGCCGCCCCCUGCUGCCUUCAGAGAGAGGAUCCUGGCGGGCCGAGACACAAAGUCGGGAGACCUGUCGAUUCCGCCCGGGCCACACCUGCGGCCGCUCUCUUGGCCUCUCUGGGCCCAAGCUCCCUCCUCUACAAAUAAAGCGGUUCCAGAAAGAACCUUUAGAGCCUCCCCUCAGAUUUGAAAUGCUGUGUGCCAACUGUUUCCCAAGGGCUGCUGAAAGGAAAGCGAGGUCUUGGCAUCCCCUCUUUGAAGCCCAGGAUGCACGGGAUUCAUCUCAAACUGGGGCUAUUGCUGUGUGUCAGACAGGUGACAUUCUGGACCAGGUAAGCCACCCUGCAAAUAUAAGGGAUUCUCUCCUUUCUGUGAUCCUUCAAGAUGAUGAUUAAAGGCUGGGCCUCAGGUCAGACAACUGUUAGGUUCCAAUCUGGGCUUUGCAUCUGACCAGCUUUGUGCUGGCUAGCUACUUAGGCCUGAAGCUUCAGGGUCCUACCUACAGAAUCGAGGUAUCAGCUACCUUGAAUAAUGUACGGAUUAACUGUGGUGGUGCAUGCAUGUAGUAAAUGCUUAGUAGACAGAAAUUAUAAUUAUUAUAGGCCCAGAUAAUCUGAAGAGAUUGGAUUAUUUCUUUCUCCACAGCAACCUACAAAGUACAACUUUGUAACUCAGUGAAGGGCCCCACGUUUGGUUUUCUGAGAGUAGGCUUAGACCUGGUAACAAAGUGAGCUGUCUUCAUUCCAUUUCUUUCCUCUCCCCUCCUUUUCCUUCGCAAAAGGAGGGGAGAGGAAAGGUCAUGUUCUUGUUUUAAAAAAUGUUCCUUUCCAGCGGCCAAGCUGCCAGAAGUAAGCCAGGGCCUUUUAACAAUGCUCGUCCCCGCCAGCACCCGCAGUGGGGCCGGCACCCAGAGUGGAAAAUGGAACAGUGAGAGGCAGGUGCAGCCCCCAGAGCUCCCGGGGUGGCAUCCCGCUGUGUGGGCGCCUGCUGCCCGCGCUGUGUCUUCACCUCCUUGAGCUGCUGGUUCGUCUCUGUGUCCCCCCGUCGUGUCCAGGGGGAAUGUUCAAUACCUGCUGUUUGUUGACCACACAGAAGUGACAGCGGCACCAUCAAGAGAACACGCGCUUUUGGCUCCUUUUCCAAGAAUGGCAGUGGAUUUGCUUUGAUCCAUUCAUGUGACCGGGGGCACACUUGGUGAGGGUCAGGGAGGUAAUACAUGACCGCUGAGUGCUUCAAGAGGGAACAAGGGCCCUUGGCCUCCUGGGCAGCCCAAUCCUUACUUAACCCAGCCGAAUUAGGGCCCAAAUGAGCCCAAGACUGUUCAGGGAAGCUGGAAAGAGUAUGAGGGAAGAAAAAGCAGAAGAAAGUCCUUCAGGUGGUUCACCCGCAGACACCCAGACUGUCCUUUCAGAGAAGUUAGAAGUGGAACGGCUGCUCCAUCCAGUUUGACUUUUCUGUGGCUGUUGCCCUUUGUUCUCUUUCCCGUCUUCCCUAAAUUGCCCCCCCCCACCCCCACUCUCCACCCCCUCCGUAAAAAGCCAGAGAGUACUUGAACUCCUGAACUCCUGGUCUCCUGGUCCACCCAGGAUCAAAGCUGACGGGCUUCUGUACUAUUACAUGUGCUUUGAAGUCGGGUUUUUCUCUGUAUCCAAGGGUGGGUGGAGUGGGAGGGCAGUAUCACAGGUAACAACUUUGUUCCAAAUCUGCAGAAAAGCCCGGGACUGAAAAAAAAGCAUUUCUUCAAUGUUUUUCUGCUGCCUGAAAUAAAGGCCUUGUUUUGGGUGGCCUUUGCCUGUGAGUUCUUCUGAGUUUCUUUCUCUCUUUUUUAAAGGACACAUUCUCACUCUGCAGGUCACAAGCCCUUCACUGAGUGGUCCGAGCGUGCCUCCCCGGGCUUGUGUGGUUGCCUUCCCUCGUUAGAGACACAAUUUGGGGUAAGGCUCAAACAUACCCAGAUCUUCAACCAGAACACGCAGUUUGGGAAGUGGAAUUUUUCCUCUAUUUGAAUGAUUUCAAUAGACAUUCAGCAAAAGCCUUGACUCGCUAAAGAGACAAAGCUGAGACCCAGGCUUGAGGAACACCCUGCAAACCCAACCCAGAAUUAUAAACUUAAAAAAUUUUUUUAAUAAGCCAAUACCAAUUCUUUCCUAAAGAAUAGACCAUUGUAUAAUCUUCACACACAACAAAAAUGAAACAAAAGGGAGAAAAUGAAACAGCCUUGGAAGUCGAUGUCAUGACUCUUAAGCCUAAUUUUGGGAAGAAGCUGCAGUUGCUGAGUUUUCAAAUUUCAUGCAACAUAAUUAAAGAAGGAAAGACCAGAUUUUACAAUUCAUUACCUAACACUGACCCAGAGAAAUUGUUUUUUAUGUCCUUUCUCAUGGUUUGAUAUUCUUAAGCUCAGGUUAGCAAAUUAGAAGUUCAAGUAUUUUUCUUCAGUCUGACUUCUGUUGAAGGCCCCUUGAAAUCAUCCAGAUAGGUGGAGCAUUCCACGUCCCAGCCUGCACCUUAGGACUGAAGGUUUGGGUCUGAGCCCUGCCCCCAAGUCUUGUCUCUACUAGGAAACUGCUUGGAUGGUUGGGAAGAAUUAAAUCCAUCUUAUCUAACAACAUGGGAAAAUCAGUCCUACUGAGAGAAUUACAGCCGUGCAAUUCUAGAAUUCAUUUCACAUCAUUCUGUCUUAGCAGUGAGGAAGCCGAGGCCUUGAUCACUUGCCGCAUCUUACUGGAAUCACCUUCGUGCAGUAUUUCACAGCCCAGUGUGCUUCCAAGGUGUAACUCCCUCGAGAGCCCUUUUCUGUUUCCCUUCCUUCAGCCUUCUUGGCCUGUGGAUGGUGCCUUCCUGGGCCACCACCUUGAAAACUCUGAAAUCCCUACUGGACCCACGAAGGGAAGUACCCAGGGCAGGGGGCCCCCCAGUUUACCACGGAAUCCUGUAUCAUGGUUUACCCAGUGCCUCACGUACAGCGGACGUUCAAGGUAUUCUUUGUGAAUAGCUAGAUUACCAGGGGAAAAAAAAUGGCUGUAUGACAGGUUCUCUUUAAAGGACUCUUUGGAGCUCAUUCUGCAUAUUCAAUCUGUCUCAUUGUUUUGUGA